RNAcentral lists this non-coding RNA (48 nucleotides) under Schistosoma mansoni. The record is from RNAcentral. Lineage: Eukaryota; Metazoa; Platyhelminthes; Trematoda; Strigeidida; Schistosomatidae.
AUCCAGCUGAUGAGUCCUAAAUAGGACGGAACGCGCGUCAAACUGCAU